RNAcentral lists this ribosomal RNA (253 nucleotides) under uncultured bacterium. RNAcentral's name for it is "partial 16S ribosomal RNA". It matches the Rfam family "Bacterial small subunit ribosomal RNA", at positions 524 to 776 of the family's 1533-position model. The record is from RNAcentral.
UACGGAGGGUGCAAGCGUUAUUCGGAAUGACUGGGCGUAAAGCGCACGUAGGUGGGUUUGUAAGUCGGAUGUGAAAUCCCGAGGCUUAACCUCGGACCUGCAUCCGAAACUGUGAAUCUUGAAUGCUUGAGAGGUUGGUAGAAUUCCUGGUGUAGGAGUGAAAUCCGUAGAUAUCAGGAGGAACAUCGGCGGCGAAGGCGGCCAACUGGCAGUGCAUUGACACUGAGGUGCGAAAGCGUGGGGAGCAAACAGG